UACAUGGGGUGCAAACGUUGCUCGGAAUUAUUGGGCGUAAAGCGCGCGUAGGCGGUUACUUAAGUCGGAUGUGAAAGCCCUCGGCUCAACUGAGGAAGUGCACCCGAAACUGAGUAGCUGGAGUACGAAAGAGGGUCGCGGAAUUCCCGGUGUAGAGGUGAAAUGCGUAGAUAUCUGGAGGAACACCGGUGGCGAAGGCGGCGUUCUGGACUGCAACUGACACUGAGAAACGAAAGCCAGGGUAGCAAACGGG
This 253-nucleotide ribosomal RNA is filed under the name uncultured bacterium. RNAcentral's name for it is "partial 16S ribosomal RNA". It matches the Rfam family "Bacterial small subunit ribosomal RNA", at positions 524 to 776 of the family's 1533-position model. The record is from RNAcentral.